UUGGCGCCAAUGCUGUCGUUUAUUGCGCGGAAUGGGGGUGUGGGGGUUAAUGGGGCGUGGGGGGCCACGGUGGGGGCACUGCUGCCUCGGCUCGUCAGUACAUUCAUCACGGCGGCGGGACCCCAGCCUCCCCCCCGCGCCCUGCGCAGCCAGGCCUGCCUCUCGGUGCCAGUGCUGGAGGGAGGCGGGGUGCUGCUCCCCGAGGUCACCGGGGGACGCGCGCGGACGGGGGCCGGGCCGGUUAUUGCGUGAGCGCGAUGGGGGCAGCGGGAAGCCGGCGGGCCAAGUAUUGCACUUAGAAAACGAUCCUCCUCGGACGGGGGCCACCUAGAGGGUGGGGGGCGGGCGGGGCUCCACAGCCGGCUCCUCUCAGCCACUGGGCCGCCCCGUCCCUGUCUUACAGCUGGGGGAACUGAGGCACCGAGGUGAAGGGAGCCCCCUCGCACGCGAGGCCCACGCGCUGACCCAGCUCGGCCUGCUGCACCAUCUCGCGGUCGUACUUGACG
RNAcentral lists this long non-coding RNA (506 nucleotides) under Homo sapiens (human). RNAcentral's name for it is "non-protein coding lnc-POLRMT-2:1". Lineage: Eukaryota; Metazoa; Chordata; Mammalia; Primates; Hominidae. The record is from RNAcentral.